CUUGGCGACAUUCAAUUCAAGACCAGGCUCCUGAAAAGGAAGAUCAAAGUUACUUUCCCCUAACACUUACAAAUGUCAUCAAGCACCCUAUGUAAAGAUUCCUUCCACCUUAAUUAGUAGACACCCAACAUUGUCUUUUCUAUGUCUAGUAAAUAUCCGUGUUGACAGCAGCCAGAACCACCCAUCUUCCCAAACUACCUCUGCCUGUGUCUAAUCCAGUCAUUUUUGUUACAUUUGGGUAGGGCAGUUGAUUCAUAGUAUCUAACUAACAACAAUCAGCUAUUCUCUUCAGCUGUGCUCAACAGGACCCAGGGCCUCAAAUCUGGAUUUAAAAAUUUGCACUGUGUAAGCAACUGAGAAAAUGUGUACAAUGCAAGAGACUGAGGAAGUUGUAACAAGUUAUCAAACAGAAAUCAUCAUCAGUACUGCUUUGCAACGAUGAAACUUCUCUACAGAAAGACCAGUCUGUUCAUUUAUGAUGCUGGAAAAAAUAAGUAAAUAAAACGGAUAUGGAAGUGCUUAUUCUUAAAUUGAAAUCAGAACACACACUACCUAUUGUUGUAUUCAUUUUCAAAAAGAAUACCAGAAAUCUUCAUGUCAUAGUCAAUAAAAUCUGCAGACUCAUCGACCUGCCAAGUAACAGAGAGUGUUACUGCCUCCCCAUGGCCAAAGCUAACUGGCAGUUACAGGCAGAUGCACAUUAAUUCUUAACUCCCCAAUUUACAGACUACUAUUCCUGAAAUACUACUCACCUUUAGCAGACAAAAUGCACACCAGUACCACAUCCUGUGCUUAAAGAUCUAAUAAUUUAGAUGCAGUUUCUCUAGGCAAACUGAUUUUUAACUUUGUAGUUGGAGUAAAAGCCUUCUUAAAGGUCACCCCAGCCACCUUGAACUUUUUGCAAAGCAACAUCAGAAUUUCCAAGACCUUUUGCAGUGUUUUAGAUGAAAACGGCAGAACAUCUAAUGGAACUCUCAAAUACUACUGCUUGCAGGACAAUGGAUAGACUUUUGAGAGCCAACUACUUAACGAACGAGUCCUUUGCCUUAGCUGAACUUUGUCAAGAAGUUCCACUGUAUUUUUGUUUUUAUUUGCAUGUAUUCCAAACAUUACGUUUGAACAACUACUGCUUUCUAGUAUAAUCUCUACAAAAUGAAUCCAGUUAUCUACAUCCUAACUUUUUAUAUUUGUGCAUGUUGUUGCUGUUGUGUAACUACCUGCCUUAUUUUCUUUCCCACUCUAAUCCUGCAUGCUCAACUACACUGUUAAGUCUUACAAUCACUUCUGAUACAGUGUAUCAUUUUUGCAAUGUAAAUAUGGCAUGAGAUUAUGCAUGUUUUGCAAGCACUUUUAAUUGUUUAUUGUAAGUGCUAUUUAUGUCAAAUGUUGAUGUCAUUUGUCCUGUGUCAUGUCUGAAAAGUGUCUCAGGGCCAGUCCAUAUACAUUAGUAAGCAAAUAAAUAAGUCUAUUGCAGCAAAUAUCA
Molecule: long non-coding RNA, 1483 nt
Organism: Protopterus annectens (West African lungfish)
Lineage: Eukaryota; Metazoa; Chordata; Ceratodontiformes; Protopteridae
Exons: 2
Source: RefSeq, a predicted model, not a curated record